RNAcentral lists this ribosomal RNA (497 nucleotides) under uncultured bacterium. Its description in RNAcentral is "partial 16S ribosomal RNA". It matches the Rfam family "Bacterial small subunit ribosomal RNA", at positions 28 to 507 of the family's 1533-position model. The record is from RNAcentral.
GAUGAACGCUGGCGGCGUGCCUAAUACAUGCCAGUCGAGCGAACGGACGAGAAGCUUGCUUCUCUGAUGUUAGCGGCGGACGGGUGAGUAACACGUGGAUAACCUACCUAUAAGACUGGGAUAACUUCGGGAAACCGGAGCUAAUACCGGAUAAUAUUUUGAACCGCAUGGUUCAAAAGUGAAAGACGGUCUUGCUGUCACUUAUAGAUGGAUCCGCGCUGCAUUAGCUAGUUGGUAAGGUAACGGCUUACCAAGGCAACGAUGCAUAGCCGACCUGAGAGAGUGAUCGGCCACACUGGAACUGAGACACGGUCCAGACUCCUACGGGAGGCAGCAGUAGGGAAUCUUCCGCAAUGGGCGAAAGCCUGACGGAGCAACGCCGCGUGAGUGAUGAAGGUCUUCGGAUCGUAAAACUCUGUUAUUAGGGAAGAACAUAUGUGUAAGUAACUGUGCACAUCUUGACGGUACCUAAUCAGAAAGCCACGGCUAACUACGUG